RNAcentral lists this long non-coding RNA (7265 nucleotides) under Olea europaea subsp. europaea. Lineage: Eukaryota; Viridiplantae; Streptophyta; Magnoliopsida; Lamiales; Oleaceae. The record is from RNAcentral.
GAGUAGCAAAAUCCCUUUGCCAAACACGGGAGAAAAAGUAAAAAAUUUGUAUGUGCAUCGUUCAACCCAUCUUCCAAAUUUACAUUUCGAUCUUGAAUUGAGGAUCACGUGAAAUGACUCGUGUUAUUCAGGUGGACAUCUUUCAAUUCACGAGGAUCAAUUAGCAGGAGAAAAUAAAAUCAUGGCCGUCUUGGUUAGAGAUUAUUAAUGCAGAAUUUUUGUACCGGAACUGAUGGCGAUGGGGAUUCAUAAAAACUAGUGGUCUCGCUCUGUAAAAGUUACCGCAAUCUGGUUCAUCCGUGCAGUUACUUUUUGCUGUCUCUUUCAAAUGGUUCUCCGUAACUCUUAACUUUUCCCCAAUCUAUUACUGUUUCAGGUAGUUGACAGAUUUAUUUUAUUGAUUUCCGUCUUUUUUUAGUUCAUUAUCUGUUGGGUUUGCAGUGAUUUGUGAACGUAUUUCGCGAAUUUAUGCUAUUUUGAGUUGACCGUUUGUUUAAUUAAGUAUUGGGCUUUGCAGUGAAUUGUGAACGGAUUUAUUAAGCUUAUGCUAAUUUGAGUUAACGGUUUGUUUGAUUAUUUGGUUGUUACGGUUUGGGUAUAUAAAUAUUUUCUUUUUAAGAGGCUGAUUAAAUGACUUCAAAAAGUUUAGCGAGUGCUUGGUGCCCAUAAAAAAAUGAAAAAAAUUACAGGGUUAAGUGAUCUGAGUCAAGCUGAAACAAGCUUUACUCCAUCACUAAUUAAAAACUCAAGCUAAGUCGAGCUUUACAGUCGCGUCUUUCAGUUGGUUUAUCUUUCAAUGAGAGUUUGCUUAUUUGCAGUCCGAGUUGAACUAUUACUUCUGGAGUUAAAAAAAAUUUAAUUAUCUUUGGAUCACUUUUCUGAAUUAGUUUUUCUCGUAUCAGUGAGUAUAAUCUAACAAACAUAACCUUUCCACGUCGAGACAAGCAUAAGUAGCUCCUGUAGUUCUGUAGUUGGUCUCAGGGGUAAUCCUCAAAAGUUGAUAGACUUGCUGAAGUCCAAGUGAAAGUGGGGAUUUUUAUUUUUUAUGCCGACAUAGAAUAUUAUUGAACCCAUAAUGAUUACCGUAUUUGGCAGUGUGGAAUUGUAGCCUUAGAAUUGUGAUUAGAUGAAUUUCAUAUUUGAAUUGGAUUUAACCAACUUCAAUUCCAACCCGCAAAACUCCAUGCAACUGAAUGUAGACGUGCUGUAGGCAAAGUUUUAUCCCUUCUAAUAACCGGUGAGAGUUAUAAGUAACCAUCAACCAGUCUGACUUGGAAAUAUGGAAGCUCUCAUCUAUUUAUGGAUCAUUCUCGGGCUAGAUUGAAAGGUUGUUUUUUACCUUGUUUCAAUAAUUUAUUUGCCAAAUGCAAAGCUAGGCAGUUCAGGAUUCUUGUUCCAUAGUUACUUCAUUAUAUGUAAAAGGACUCUAAGUGGAUUACAAAUUUCAAAGAGAAUGAGUAAGUAGCAUUUGUGUUUGCAAAAGAGUCGUCCAUUUCAAAUGCUGAGCGGAGGUAAAGACUAUAUGCAAAAAUGGCAACAGAUUUGGAUGAGAAUGUAGCUGUUUUUCUUAAACAAGGAGAAACUUCUUAGUCUUUAUCACUGUCAGAUCUUUUUACUCCGAAGGAUGGAACUGUAACUAUAACGCCCGCUCUCAAGGUAAAUAUUAAAAUUUGAGUAACUUUAGGCAUUUUCAAUGUAAUGUCGGCGUAAUUUUUUGGCUGGAGAAUGAAUGGUUUCCUGUCCUGUGUAGGCUGCAAUUCCUCCAAUGCCAGCAAAUGUCUUGUAUUUGAGGCCAGAGUACUCUGUUCCAAUCUCAUGAGUUUUAUUUCAGGUUCAUGUCUUCAUCAAGUGCCGUGUCUUAUAAAAGAAACAAGACAGCCUUUGUUUGCUUGAAGCAAGGAGAAACUGAUGUCUUUAGUUGGGUUUUCAUAUGUGGAUGUUUGUUUUUUCUCCAUUAGCGUGCCUGUUUUGCAACGGGUGAAGGUGGGUGGUUGCGCAAUGGAAGCUGAAUACAUAAAAGAAUUUAAUCUAGGUUAUCCCUAAUUAAGGUUUUGGAUUUUAAGAUUAUAAUUCGGUUGUUUGAAUAUGUCUGUUGAGUGAACUUGAAUUCGCGGUUUACUAAAAACCUGAAGCCCUUAGGGUGUGUCAAACUCAAUGGUUUUCUGUUUGAAUGCCUCUUCAUUUGAGAGUUCCUUUCGUUAAAUAGGUAGAAUUUUGCUAAUUACAAGGCUUAGAAUCACUUAUUACAUCAUUACAUGGCUGAGAAUCAGCCAUUACAUAAGUCAUGCUAACUAACUAUGGUAUAUACACUAAUCACAGAAUAUCAUGCCACAAUUAUCCUGCUAACACCCCCCUAAAAUUGAUACUGGUCGAUCAAGAAGCAUUAAUUUGCUAACAAGAAAUUGAUGACGUUGUCGGCUCAUGGCCUUUGUAAAAAUAUCAGCUAUCUGAAGGGACGUGGAAAUAUGGGGAAGAGAAAUUACACGGGUGUCCAAGGCCUCUCGAAUAGAAUGACAAUCCACUUCAAUAUGUUUUGUACGCUCAUCGUAAACAGGGUUAGCAGCAAUCUGAAGGGCACUCGUGUUAUCAGCAUGGAGAGGCGUAGGAGUGGAUUGAGGAAAAUCAAGUUUAGCCAAAAGGCCACGAAGCCAAAUAAUCUCGAAACAGGCAAGAGUCAUCGCCCGAUAUUCAGAUUCGGUAGAUGACUUAGAAACCGGAUCUUGUUUCUUGCUUUUCCAAGAGAUUAGAGGAUCACCAAGAAACAUACACCAACCCGUAACAGAUCGUCUAGUGUCAGAACAGUCGGCCCAAUCGGCAUCACUAAAAGUGAUAAGACAAAUAGGAGAGCCGACAAAAAAAAGAAUCCACGACUAGAUGUACCUCGAAGAUAGCAAAUGAUACGCUGAACAGCAUCAAGAUGAAGAUGACAUGAAGUGUGCGUAAACUGGCUAACCUGCUGGACCGCAAAGGAAAUAUCAGGUGGAGUAAUGGUCAAAUAAUUCAAACUGCCCACCAAUUGACGAAACACAGUAGGAUUAGAUAAAAGAUCACCUUCCUCACUAUGAUACUUUGUAUUUACUUCUAGAGGAAUACCCAAGGUAGAUGAAUCCUGAAGACCUGCCAACUUAAUCAAAUCUUGUGUGUAUUUAUGUUGAUUCAAGAAAAUACCAGAGGAAUCAUUGUGAACUUCUAACCCUAAGAAGUAUGUAAGAGAUUCAAGAUCCUUCAUAUGAAACGUGGUCUGAAAUGCUGCUGUAGACGGGUAAUUAAAGCAGAAUUCGUCCCAGUAAUAACAAUAUCAUCAACAUAGACAAGAAAAAGAACAAUACUAGUGGAACUUUUGCAAAGGAACAAGGAAGAGUCAUACUGGUUCUGUUGAAAUGAAAAGUGAAGCAAUGAAGAUCGAAAUUUGUCAAACCAUGCUCGUGGGGCUUGUUUCAAUCCGUAUAAUGAGCGCUUCAACUUACACACGUUUGAGGAAGAGGUGGUGGCCAGACUAGGAGGCAGUGUCAUGUAAACCUCAUCUUUGAGAUCUCUAUGGAGAAAGGCAUUUUUGAUAUUCAUUUGAUGAAGCGGCCAACCUUAAGAAGCAGCAAUAGUAAUAAUCGUCCGCACUAUGGUUAUCUUAGCUACCGGAGCAAAAGUCUCCUCAUAAUCCACACCAUACUUCUGUUUGUUACCUAGAGCAACCAACCGUGCCUUAUAUCGAUCCAGAGUCCCAUCAGAGCGUAGUUUGAUUGAAUAAACCCUCUUACAACCAAUGACUUUUAACGUUCUCCGGACAAGGUACAACAUCCCAAAGUGUCAUUGUCCUUGAGUGCUCAAAGUUCAUCUGCCAUCGCCUCCCGCCAACAUUCAUGUUUUAUUGCCUCAAAGUACCAUGUACGUAUGGGAAUGGAUGACAAAGUAGUAUGAAGAGAUGUAUAAGAAAAUCCAUACCUAUUAGGAGGACGAUAAAUUCUGGUAGACCGGCGAAGAUUAGUGUCUGAAUCUAGCUCAUUCGUGGAGGGCAAUGUUAGAGCAGCCUCAGAUGGCGGGUCAGGCUCACAGGGGGGCAAAGUUGAGCGUCGUCGUUCAUUUACGAAUCCAAGCUUGAAUCGUUCAAGAGUAGAAGACAACUCAUCAAAGUGUAAAAGUGCAUAUAUCUUCGGUAAAGGCUCACCAUGAGUGGGAAGGAAGUAUUGAUUUUCAAAGAAGACCAUAUGACGAGAGAUACGAAAUUUAUUAGAGUAUGGAUCAUAGUGAACAUAGCCUUUAUGAGAAACACUAUAGCCCAUAAAUGCACAUUUAAUAGAUUGAGCAGAAAAUUUGUUUCAAUCAUGAGGAGGUAAAUGAACAAAGCAAACACAAUCAAAUGUAUGCAUGCCAAGGUAGUUAGGAUGCUGAUGAUGCAGGCGAUAAUAAGGAUUUUCAAACUUUUCGGGACACUGGAAGGCAAUCGAUUAAUUAAAUAGACUACCGUAGACGAAAGAAUUCUACUUGUUCCUUUGUAAAUUCUUGAGAAGUCAUUCCAUCAUAAAUGAGAAAUUGUGGGCCAGAACGAGAUUGAUGUUGACCAUAGGUAGAUGACUGGGCUGAUCGAUUUUUGUUAGCUUGCUUGCCAUUUUUUAGCCCUGGCUUCCCAUUCAAUUUCCAGCAAGUGUCACAGUUAUGCCAUGGUCUGUUACAAAAAUCCACCACCUUUUAUCAUCUUUUCAUGCAGCUUUCAUAGCAAAAUCAGUCACUUUAGAGACCAGAGUUGAGUUUUCAAUAGAAGGUGAUGUUUUCCCCAUCAUAACAACUCUUCGACUUUCUUCCUUGCGAAUUUAUCCAAACACUUUGUGAAAGGAAGGUAAUGGUUCACGCCCUAAAUUUCUCCCACGGGCUUCAUCUAGUUCUGAAUUCAGCCCAGCACGAAAUUCGAAUAUUCUCUCUUUUUUAAGCAUUUUACUAUACAAAGAACUAUCAUGAGGACACUUCAAUUCAGCCUCGCAAUAUUGGUCUAAUUCUUGCCAAAAAUCAAAAUACUGUAAUACUUAGUAAAAGUAUGAAUACGCUGUUUCAAAUCACAAAUUUUUUACUUCAUCUCAUAGAGUUGAGCAGAAUUUCCAAGGUCAGAGAAAGUCUCUGCAACAGCAUCCCAGAUUUCUUUUGCUGUAGAGAGAAACAUGUAUGUCCGACCUAUCUCCACCUCCAUCGAGUUCACAAGCCAAGCCAUGAUCAUUGCAUUCUCAGCCUCCCAUUGUUGAAAACUUGCAUUGUCUUCCUCAGGUAUUUUUGUGGAGCUGCUAAUAUAGCCAAAUUUACCUUUCCCUGUAUAAACAUCUUAACUGAUUGUGACCAUUGAAGAUAAUUUUGGCAAUUCAGCUUAUGGGAUGUAAUUUGGAGGGAAAGAUUGUCGUGAACUGACUGGUGGACAGGCUUUUGAAAUGUUUCAGUAGUAUGUCUAGAUGAACCCAUCUUGAGAUCCCUCUGACAUGGUGUAAACUGGAACCUUUCAAAAACAAUGAAACUGUAAUAAUCCUUAAAUCAGAGAACUCUGAUACAAAGUAGAAAAACAAGAUAACAGGAGAAUGAUUCUCUAUAUUUUUCAAUUAAUUUCAAAAAUAUACAGACUCUUUAAAUAAGUAAAUACAGAAACUAGAGACUUUAAAUAUUAGGCUACAGUCACAACCACCCAGUUAUAGUAGAUAAGUUACAACUUAUCUAGGAUUCCUAUGAGGAUUAAAUCAUUUGAAACCAACUUAAGAUAAUGUGGAAUUGGAAACAACUCUAGAAAAUAGCUAAUACUAUUAACUUCCAAUACACGUUGUAAUGACAUUAGUAAGAUUCUGGCCUUAGACUUUGACUUCUAUUUGAUAACAUUUGGGCUUCUUUUACCCUUCAUCGAGGUUCUUCCUGAGGUUACCUCUUGAAGUCUAAAAGCUUGCAUCACCAAGCCUAAAAGUUGUCUUGUUCUCUUUAUGUGAUUUUUUGUUGCUUGGUUUAUGUGUUAAAAUCAAUGUUAUUCAGUUCAUCGAGGAAAAUUGAAUAUCCCUAUCUAAAAUCUGGAUUGCCCACGAUUAGAUGGGUAGCAUUACAUGUUAGAUUCCUCGAUAGAAGUUAAACGAGUCGCAGUUUUCAACAAUUUCCAUGAGUUUUUUGGUUCAAUAUCUUCUAAUCUUGCAGUGGUUUUCUGCUACACUAUGAUGAGGCAAUGCUCCACACUUCCUUUGCAAGGCUUCUUGUCACCCUAACAAGUUACUGUGGUAUAGCUCAGAGUACUGUGUGAUCUGUGUCAGGAGAUAUCUUGCCACACACUCACAUGUAUAGUAGCUUGCCUUGUAUUUCUCAUUUACGCCUAUACCCAAAUGGCCAAUUGACAUAACUCAUGCCAUAGAUGAUUUGAUUGUUGUAGAUGCACACACUUGGUUGUUGCAAUUUUCUGCAUUUCCUUGAUUGCCAAGUUUGUAGCCUGGCACACCAAAUGACCGAAGUUGAUGUGGAUGAUUCCCUUUGAUAACAUAAAACUUCAAUUUGCUUUUUCUGUUUCAAUUUAUUAAUCCAUCGUUGCUAAUUGUUUUCCAUUUUGUUUUUGUAUAGGAGCGAAAUAAUAGUUCAGCACUCCAAAUUUUUCAUGAGCUUGUAAGAGAACUGAAUAACGAAAUUUGUGGACAUUAGGUAGUUAUCUAUUUGGGGUUUCUACGAUGCAUUUCAUUCUAUUUGGACUAGAGUUUCAAACCAAGACGUCUCUUCAAUUUUUUCUGAUAAACAUUUUCUUUAUGAUAAUAUUGUUGCUGAUUUCCCUGGUUUCAAGUUCAAUUUUAGAUUUUUAUCUCAUUCACAUCGAGUGAAUGUGUUUAAGAUGUGUAGCUUUUUCAUCUUUCAUGUUGCUUAGGCUUCAGUCUUGGAGCUCUGGUGCGCGGAGGAGUACGAUUUGCUGGCGCUUGCACUGAAUGGAAGAAUGAAGAUUACCAAGUUCCAAGUUUGCUGUUCAAAAGCUUAAAGAUCCGACUUUUACUGAAUCCUUGGGAAGAUAUUGGGUUCUCUUACUUGGAUGACCAAGUGGGAUUCCCUCUUCUUCCUUGAGUUUUAUGUUCAGGUUUCCAUUAGGAACAAUAUGAAUCUCAUAGCCAAACCAAAAAGUUAUUACAUACUGUGAUGUUCAUUUAGUAUAUAGUUUUAUUUUAUUUAAAUGCUUCAGUUUUAGAGGUACUGGGACAGUUGGACUAGCUUUUGAAAGUAUUCGUGACACAUAAAAUAGACAAUAAAUAAAUAUUUAAUAUUAUCCGUACAUUUUCCCAUUU